Molecule: ribosomal RNA, 500 nt
Filed under: uncultured bacterium
Lineage: Bacteria
Description: partial 16S ribosomal RNA
Rfam family: Bacterial small subunit ribosomal RNA
Source: RNAcentral
AUUGAACGCUGGCGGAAUGCUUUACACAUGCAAGUCGAACGGCAGCACGGGGGCAACCCUGGUGGCGAGUGGCGAACGGGUGAGUAAUAUAUCGGAACGUGCCCAGUCGUGGGGGAUAACGUAGCGAAAGUUACGCUAAUACCGCAUACGAUCUACGGAUGAAAGCGGGGGAUCGCAAGACCUCGCGCGAUUGGAGCGGCCGAUAUCAGAUUAGGUAGUUGGUGAGGUAAAGGCUCACCAAGCCAACGAUCUGUAGCUGGUCUGAGAGGACGACCGGCCAAGCAUGGACUGCGACACGGCACAGACGCCUAAGGGAGGCGGCAGUGGGGAAUUUUGGACAAUGGGCGCAAGCCUGAUCCAGCCAUUCCGCGUGCAGGACGAAGGCCUUCGGGUUGUAAACUGCUUUUGUACGGAACGAAAAAGCCUUGGCUAAUACCCAGGGUCCAUGACGGUACCGUAAGAAUAAGCACCGGCUAACUACGUGCCAGCAGCCGCCGUAA